UACGACUACAUAUCAGGCAUAUCAAUAAGCGGAGGAAAAGAAACUAACAAGGAUUCCCCUAGUAACGGCGAGUGAAGCGGGAAGAGCUCAAAUUUGAAAUCUUAAAGGGUUUCCCUUUACGAAUUGUAGUUUAAAGAAGUGUUUUCUGUUGGAGUUUCGGUAAAAGUUCUUUGGAAUAGGACAUCAUAGAGGGUGAGAAUCCCGUAUUUGACCGUUACUUUCCAGCUGUGUGAUACACUUUCAAAGAGUCGGAUUGUUUGGGAAUGCAGUCCAAGAUGGGUGGUAAAUUUCAUCUAAAGCUAAAUAUUGGCGAGAGACCGAUAGCGAACAAGUACCGUGAGGGAAAGAUGAAAAGAACUUUGAAAAGAGAGUUAAACAGUACGUGAAAUUGUCAAAAGGGAAGCGUUUGACACCAGUGUUGUUUAGUUGAAAAUCAAUUCAAUAGUUUUUGAUUCUAAGUAGUAUUGACUUCAUCAGCUUGCUGCUUUCUUCUCAGAAAUUAUUGAAUGCACUUUUCAGUUAACAAGUCAACAUCAAUUUCUUUUGUUGUAAAAGGGUAAGAGGAAGGUGGCUUGCGCUUCGGCUCACGUGUUUAUAGCCUUUUAUCUCUGCAAUCGGAGAGAUUGAGGUCUGCAGCGUAGAUCCUUCGGGGUUAGAUACAUUGGUGCUAAGCUAUAGCCUUGUAUAGACAACUUGUUGACUAUGCUCAGUCAUGUAGCUUACUCGCUGAUGCUAUUUUACCUACGCUUAGGAUGUUGAUCUACAGAGCGAGAGU
Molecule: ribosomal RNA, 775 nt
Filed under: uncultured Neocallimastigales
Lineage: Eukaryota; Fungi; Neocallimastigomycota; Neocallimastigomycetes; Neocallimastigales
Description: partial large subunit ribosomal RNA
Rfam family: Eukaryotic large subunit ribosomal RNA
Source: RNAcentral